This 586-nucleotide ribosomal RNA is filed under the name Haemophilus influenzae 3655. Its description in RNAcentral is "bacterial SSU rRNA". It matches the Rfam family "Bacterial small subunit ribosomal RNA", at positions 1 to 472 of the family's 1533-position model. Lineage: Bacteria; Pseudomonadati; Pseudomonadota; Gammaproteobacteria; Pasteurellales; Pasteurellaceae. The record is from RNAcentral.
ACUUGAAUUGAAGAGUUUGAUCAUGGCUCAGAUUGAACGCUGGCGGCAGGCUUAACACAUGCAAGUCGAACGGUAGCAGGAGAAAGCUUGCUUUCUUGCUGACGAGUGGCGGACGGGUGAGUAAUGCUUGGGAAUCUGGCUUAUGGAGGGGGAUAACGACGGGAAACUGUCGCUAAUACCGCGUAAUAUCGAAAGAUUAAAGUGUGGGACCUUCGGGCCACAUGCCAUAGGAUGAGCCCAAGUGGGAUUAGGUAGUUGGUGGGGGAAAACCCGCCCUUGCCUUCGAUCUAUAACUGGCCGGAGAAGAAAAAUAACCCCACUCUAAAUAAAACCACGGAGCCGGACUACCUAGUGGCAGGACCCGCCCGCGGAAAAUACGCACAAUCCCCCGGAACCCUGAAGCCAAAGAUGCCUCGCAAACAAAAAACGCCUUAUGUGUGUUAAAAGGCGAUCAACUUUUUAGUGAAGGAGUGCUGCUAUAAAUAAUACCAAACUAUAUUAUUCUCCCACACGCACAUCCCGCAAAAACACCGCCGGGGCAAACAACACCAACACAAAGGGGUGUAGGCUCUCCCCCCCCCUAUUA